UCUAAUCCAUCAAGCAUACAAGUAUCAAUUUAAUAUAUUUUAUUCUAAUUGUUACUUUAUUUCAACCUAAUUUAAAUCUAAAAUAAAAAUAGAAAGUCCGAAAUUAACUAAUUUAAUAUCAAAAGCAACAAAUAAAGAAUAAAAUUGGAACUUUUGCCUUGUUUGGCCCGAGUUAUUUCUUCAAGGAAGUACCAAAAUUGCCCUUUUCUUUAUAUUCUUCCUUUCUUCCUCUUUCUUCAACGUGAAAUGUUCAGCCGCGCCGCCUUAAUCUUCGUCUUCCUCUCUUCCUUUUUCUUCACCAAUCUUCACCAUUAACUCCUUCGAUGAAGCUUCCAGGCGGAGUCCACCUCCAUUGAAGCUUUGUUAGCCGGCGUAUGCACCGCCUUGCUGUUCAUCCGCUCCUCCGGUGACCAUGCAACGCUAUUUUCAUUCGAGGAUAGAGGUCGAACAUUGAGAACUCGACGAACAAAGAAAACUUGGAAACAAUACAUAGGCCGAAACUUCAACUCUCUACAAGGGAAAUCUCGCGAAUCUCGCUUAGGUUGUCGAAGGUUGAAGUUCGACACACAUCCACCCUCGAGAUUGCAGGUGGAGGCUUGUGGGAUUAACGUGAAGGGGUGUGGAUGGCUAUAUUUCUGGGAGCGAACUCCAGGCGAAUAUGAAGCGCAUGGAUACAAGUUAUACCUUGGAAUGAAAGACAAAUCCGAAUUAGCUUUGUCUACAAACAAAAUUUUGUAUAUUAGGUUGUCGAAGGUUCCACACAUGUCGAAACUUCAAAGCGAUUA
This is a long non-coding RNA of Benincasa hispida (wax gourd), 785 nucleotides long. RefSeq lists it as uncharacterized. Lineage: Eukaryota; Viridiplantae; Streptophyta; Magnoliopsida; Cucurbitales; Cucurbitaceae. The record is from RefSeq and is a predicted model, not a curated record.